Molecule: ribosomal RNA, 468 nt
Filed under: uncultured bacterium
Lineage: Bacteria
Description: partial 16S ribosomal RNA
Rfam family: Bacterial small subunit ribosomal RNA
Source: RNAcentral
GACCAACGCUGGCGGCGUGCUCAACACAUCCAAGUCGAACGGAAAGGCCCUGCUUUUGUGGGGUGCUCGAGUGGCGAACGGGUGAGUAACACGUGAGUAACCUGCCCUUGACUUUGGGAUAACUUCAGGAAACUGGGGCUAAUACCGGAUAGGAGCUCCUGCUGCAUGGUGGGGGUUGGAAAGUUUCGGCGGUUGGGGAUGGACUCGCGGCUUAUCAGCUUGUUGGUGGGGUAGUGGCUUACCAAGGCUUUGACGGGUAGCCGGCCUGAGAGGGUGACCGGCCACAUUGGGACUGAGAUACGGCCCAGACUCCUACGGGAGGCAGCAGUGGGGAAUAUUGCACAAUGGGCGGAAGCCUGAUGCAGCAACGCCGCGUGCGGGAUGACGGCCUUCGGGUUGUAAACCGCUUUCGCCUGUGACGAAGCGUGAGUGACGGUAAUGGGUAAAGAAGCACCGGCUAACUACGUG